CAAGCUCCGUAGAAAGCUUCGCUCGCGAUCUUGCCUCAGCUUUGGAUUGGCGCCCCGAGGCAGGCGGUACCGACUAGAAGGGUACCGUCACUGGGAUGAGACCCUCCAAGCCUACGAGCUGCAUUGGGAUACUGCCAAUGGCGAAAGCUGAUGCAGCACGCCGCUGAGGAUGACGCCUCAGCUGUACUAUUUAGUAGGGACGAGCGAAAGUGACGUACUGCAGAAAAGCACGCUACUACGUGCAGCAGCGCGUAAUACGUAGGCUGCAAGCGUCGUCCGGAUUAUCGGCGUAAAGAGCUCGUAGGCGGUUUGUCGCGUUGCUGUGAAAUCCCGAGGCUCAACCUCGGGCUUGCAGUGGGUACGGGCAGACUAGAGUGCGGUAGGGGAGAUUGGAAUUCCUGGUGUAGCGGUGGAAUGCGCAGAUAUCAGGAGGAACACCGAUGGCGAAGGCAGAUCUCUGGGCCGUAACUGACACUGAGGAGCGAAAGCAUGGGGAGCGAACAGGAUUAGAUACCCUGGUAGUCCAUGCCGUAAACGUUGGGCGCUAGAUGUAGGGACCUUUCCACGGUUUCUGUGUCGUAGCUAACGCAUUAAGCGCCCCGCCUGGGGAGUACGGCCGCAAGGCUAAAACUCAAAGGAAUUGACGGGGGCCCGCACAAGCGGCGGAGCAUGCGGAUUAAUUCGAUGCAACGCGAAGAACCUUACCAAGGCUUGACAUACACCGGAAACGGCCAGAGAUGGUCGCCCCCUUGUGGUCGGUGUACAGGUGGUGCAUGGUUGUCGUCAGCUCGUGUCGUGAGAUGUUGGGUUAAGUCCCGCAACGAGCGCAACCCUCGUUCUAUGUUGCCAGCGGGUUAUGCCGGGGACUCAUAGGAGACUGCCGGGGUCAACUCGGAGGAAGGUGGGGAUGACGUCAAAUCAUCAUGCCCCUUAUGUCUUGGGCUUCACGCAUGCUACAAUGGCCGGUACAAAGGGCUGCGAUACCGUAAGGUGGAGCGAAUCCCAAAAAGCCGGUCUCAGUUCGGAUUGAGGUCUGCAACUCGACCUCAUGAAGUCGGAGUCGCUAGUAAUCGCAGAUCAGCAACGCUGCGGUGAAUACGUUCCCGGGCCUUGUACACACCGCCCGUCAAGUCAUGAAAGUCGGUAACCCCCGAAGCCGGUGGCCUAACCCUUGCGGAAGGAGCCGUCGAAGGUGGAUCGUAAUGUU
This 1207-nucleotide ribosomal RNA is filed under the name uncultured bacterium. Its description in RNAcentral is "partial 16S ribosomal RNA". It matches the Rfam family "Bacterial small subunit ribosomal RNA", at positions 202 to 1475 of the family's 1533-position model. The record is from RNAcentral.